CGAUCUGCUGGGGGCAGAUGAAAUGGAUAUGUGUAUCGAUACCGCCUGCCGUUACGAUCAUUCCCUCACCGGCCAGCGCCUCUGUGGAAGCUCCCACCGUCAUGCCGGGCGUCACUCCAUCCAUGAUGGCCGGAUUGCCCGCCUUCCCGAUUCCUUUGAUUUUUCCGUCUUUAAUUCCAAUAUCCGCUUUUACAAUACCGGUAUAAUCCAGAAUCAGUGCAUUGGUGAUAACCAGAUCCAGAUCGCCGUCACUGUUACAGGUUUUCACUGACUGCCCCAUGCCGUCCCG
RNAcentral lists this small RNA (289 nucleotides) under uncultured Ruminococcus sp. RNAcentral describes it as "5' ureB small RNA". It matches the Rfam family "5' ureB small RNA". The record is from RNAcentral. Lineage: Bacteria; Bacillati; Bacillota; Clostridia; Eubacteriales; Oscillospiraceae.